This 312-nucleotide small nuclear RNA is filed under the name Prolemur simus (greater bamboo lemur). Its description in RNAcentral is "7SK RNA (ENSPSMG00000018991.1)". It matches the Rfam family "7SK RNA". From Rfam's summary of the family: 7SK was discovered as an abundant small nuclear RNA in the mid-70s but a possible function has only recently been suggested. The record is from RNAcentral. Lineage: Eukaryota; Metazoa; Chordata; Mammalia; Primates; Lemuridae.
AGAUGUGAGGAUGAUCUGGCUGCGACAUCUGUCGCCCCAUUGAUUGCCAGGGAUGAUUUGGCUGAUUUGCCUGGCUAGGCGGGUGUUCCCUUCCUCCCUCACCACUCCAUGUGUGUCCCUCCCAAAGUUGCAUACUCAGUCGAAGAGGACAACCUUCCCCAAUAGAGGAGGACCAUUCUUCAGUCAAGGAUAUGCAAGUAGCUGCAUGCCCCUGCUAGAACCUCCAAACAGGCUGAAAAGAUGAUAGACAAAUGGCAAAAAAACAUAUGAAAAAAUGUUCAACAUCACUAAACAUCAGGGAAAUGCAAAAUU